GAUGAAGAACGCAGCGAAAUGCGAUAAGUAAUGUGAAUUGCAGAGUUCAGUGAAUCAUCGAAUCUUUGAACGCACAUUGCGCCCCCUGGUAUUCCGGGGGGCAUGCCUGUCCGAGCGUCAUUGCAACCUUCAAGCGCGGCUUGUGUGUUGGGUCUCGUCCCCCGUGGACGGGCCCGAAAGGCAGUGGCGGCGUCCCGACAUGGUGCCCGAGCGUAUGGGAAUCCUCUUCCGCUCGAAUCGGCCCAUGCGGCGCUGGUCGUAACCAAAUUUUUUACCGGUUGACCUCGGAUCAGGUAGGGAUACCCGCUGAACUUAAGCAUAUCAAUAAGCGGAGGA
Molecule: unclassified non-coding RNA, 336 nt
Filed under: soil metagenome
Description: partial contains 5.8S ribosomal RNA, internal transcribed spacer 2, and large subunit ribosomal RNA
Rfam family: 5.8S ribosomal RNA (bases 1-120)
Source: RNAcentral